UGCUAUGAGCAGCUUCUCUUCCACCAUGUCUCUCUGCUGUGCUGCCCUGCCUUGGAGCCAGCCUGCUGUGGACUGAAACCUUUACAAACUGUGAGCCAAAGGCCCCACCCUGUCUCCUGGCCAAAGAGACUCAAGAAAUCCGGGCAGAGAAUGGUGCUCCCUGCUGCCCAGCGGAGAUGACCACUUCACGGAGAGCAGAGAGAGGAAGGAGGAGGAGAGCGAAAAGAAAGGUCCUCUUUCAGGCUGAGGACGCUGUGGAGUGGCCUCCCCUGGCCUGCCAAGAGCUGACUCACCGGCCGGGACACAGCAUUACAGGUGCACUCAGCACAGACAAUGGAUGCUUUUUAUACACAGCCCCACGCCUGACCGAGACUGACCACUGGGGUCAGGUAGAGACGGUGCCCCAGGGAGUAUGGGCCUGGAGGCAUGAGUAGGAGAGGACCUGGCCUGGAAGCUGCCAUUCUCCAGCCUUCCAGAGCUGGGGUCUGAGCAUUCACAGCCAUGGAGACCCUGCAAUUUCAUGGCCAAGGGACUUCUGAGAGUCCAGCUCUAGGAUCUUUAUCUCUCACGCCUGGCACAUCUCAGGGACGCAGACCCACGUGCUGAAAGGACAGACACACAGACAGGGAGCAAGGGAGAGCAGGGCGUGGACAGAAGCUUCUGGAAAAGCUGCCGUUGAGGAAGGGCUCUGGGAGACAGAGGCUGCCGGGAGGAGAGCUGAGCAGCUCCAGCCUGGCGGUGGACCUCAGGGUGAGGUGAAGGUGGGAGACAGAG
This 774-nucleotide long non-coding RNA is filed under the name Heterocephalus glaber (naked mole-rat). RNAcentral's name for it is "lncRNA (ENSHGLG00100045445.1)". The record is from RNAcentral. Lineage: Eukaryota; Metazoa; Chordata; Mammalia; Rodentia; Bathyergidae.